RNAcentral lists this ribosomal RNA (365 nucleotides) under Starmerella sp. NCIM 3634. Its description in RNAcentral is "eukaryotic LSU rRNA". It matches the Rfam family "Eukaryotic large subunit ribosomal RNA", at positions 174 to 553 of the family's 3401-position model. Lineage: Eukaryota; Fungi; Ascomycota; Dipodascomycetes; Dipodascales; Trichomonascaceae. The record is from RNAcentral.
UCGGUGUUUAAGUCUUCUGGAAAGGAGCGCCAUGGAGGGUGAUAGCCCCGUGAAACACUAACCCCAUUGUAGGAUCUUGGCGUGGAGUCGAGUUGUUUGGGAAUGCAGCUCAAAUGGGUGGUAUGCUCCAUCUAAAGCUAAAUAUCUGCGAGAGACCGAUAGCGAACAAGUACUGUGAAGGAAAGAUGAAAAGAACUUUGAAAAGAGAGUGAAAAAGUACGUGAAAUUGUUGAAAUGGAAGGGUAGGCCGCUAACCACGUAGAGCCGUGUCUAGGGGGAGGAUAAAAGCUGUAGAAUGUGGCUCUUCGGAGUGUUAUAGCUACAGUUCAUACUCCCACCCGGGCGCGAGGAUCUAAGGCUCUACU